Molecule: ribosomal RNA, 253 nt
Filed under: uncultured prokaryote
Description: partial 16S ribosomal RNA
Rfam family: Bacterial small subunit ribosomal RNA
Source: RNAcentral
ACGGAGGGUGCAAGCGUUGUCCGGAUUUAUUGGGUUUAAAGGGUGCGUAGGCGGCUUAUUAAGUCAGGGGUGAAAGACUGCAGCUCAACUGUAGCAGUGCCUUUGAUACUGAUGAGCUUGAGUACAGAUGAGGCUGGCGGAAUGGGUGGUGUAGCGGUGAAAUGCAUAGAUACCACCAAGAACCCCGAUUGCGUAGGCAGCUCGCUGAGCCGAAACUGACGCUGAGGCACGAAAGCGUGGGGAGCGAACAGGA